GUGCUCACUUCGGUAGCACGUAUACUAAAAUUGGAAUGAUACAGAGAAGAUUAACAUGACCCCUGUGCAAGGAUGACAUGCAAAAUUCGUGAAGUGUUCCAUAUUUAA
This is a small nuclear RNA of Cavia aperea (Brazilian guinea pig), 108 nucleotides long. Lineage: Eukaryota; Metazoa; Chordata; Mammalia; Rodentia; Caviidae. The record is from Ensembl.